RNAcentral lists this transfer RNA (76 nucleotides) under Ruminiclostridium sp. RNAcentral describes it as "tRNA-Asn". It matches the Rfam family "tRNA". Rfam says of the family: Transfer RNA (tRNA) molecules are approximately 80 nucleotides in length. Lineage: Bacteria; Bacillati; Bacillota; Clostridia; Eubacteriales; Oscillospiraceae. The record is from RNAcentral. RNAcentral also lists the same sequence under 1 other name.
GCCUCCUUAGCUCAGUCGGUAGAGCACGCGGCUGUUAACCGCGGUGUCGUAGGUUCGAGCCCUACAGGAGGCGCCA